This is a long non-coding RNA of Ictalurus punctatus (channel catfish), 1538 nucleotides long. NCBI's taxonomy places the organism in Eukaryota, Metazoa, Chordata, Actinopteri, Siluriformes, Ictaluridae. The record is from Ensembl.
CCUCAUCCACCUCUCUUAGCUAUACCCGAUCCACCCCUCUUAGUUACACCCCAUUGGUUUUCUCCAUUAUCACUUUUGAGGGACUAUAUAAAGAAGUAACACUAUAACGUAGAAAAUGUUCAAAACUGACCAUGUGCACACGCAUUAGAAAUUUUUUCAGGUUUGACUUGAUGUAAUGUUUUGACCAGGUCUUAAUUUAAUUUUUAAAAACAAAGGAGCAGCCCUGUGUAGUCUCCCAUGCUGGUUAUUUUUGCUGAAUGGAUGAAGGAUAAGACUUCAGUUUCGAUCAGAACCUGCUGUCAUUAUGUCCUUAUGGAUGCCAUGUUAACUUGUCAACCUGUCCAGUGGGAUGAUGGGUAUCUAAGAAGACCAAAGGGAAAGAAGAGUCAUAGUGAGUGUUUAGGAAGAGAAUGCUUACAAAGCAGGCUCUGAAUGGAGCAACACUGCCAUCUAGCACACUGUACGCUCCGUCUACCUAGAGUUAUACUUAGCAGAUGACACAAAAAUCUUAACAGAUGGCAGGUUUGAUAUACAAGCACUAUAUGAAAUUGUAUGGCAUAUAAAUGCAAAUCACCUUGUACAAUUAUUAUCUGAAUAUACAUAUAUUUUGGUAAUUGAGGUGCAUUUCGCUAUCUUCUAUAUUAAACAUAAUCCUGUUAAAACAUUUCCCAUGUAAUGUGUGCAGUGUUCAAACAUCUGACAGAGGAGACACCUGCAAAUGUGGAACAACCCAGCAGAGAAGCGCAGAAACCAACCACACCCAAAGCUCCCAAGAGCAAAGAGAAGGAAAAAGAGAAGGAAAAAGUAAAGGAAAAAGAGAAAGAAAAAGAGAAAGACAAACAUACAUCCAAGAGUUUGGAUGAGAGUAAGCCCCACUGGAUGCUGCGUGUGGUCAGUGAACAGUCAGAGGUGGAAAAGAUUGAGGUGGAAAAGGACACUGAGAGACUAGAGCAAAUUAAGGCAAUAAAACUGGCCUGGGAAGCUGCAGAGCCUGGCAGAGCAGCUAAGGCUUUUCAAACCCGUCAGCAGUACCUGAACAAUCUGAGGACGCUCGGAGAAGACUACACCCUGGACCUCACACCUUUCAUCAGGAGGACCGGCAGGCCAGAGCGUCUAAAGGAUGCAGUGAUGGAGGAGGAACAGCAGAGGGAGCGGUUGGAGAAGAUCCAGAGCUUUCGGCUGUACCGAGAGACCGUGCUGGAUCGCCGUAGGCAGGAGCAUGAGCAGACCAAGCAGCUGAUAAGGGAACAACGAGAGCUGUUUAUAAGAAUUCAGGAGGAGAAAGCUGAGCUGCUCCGGAAGUUCGAUCAGACUCGAGCGAUUAUUCGAAGGUGGAGGAGCAGUCUCGAAAGAAAGGAGAAGAGUCUCCGAAAAUAGAAGGAGUUUCUACUUAUUGAACCUUUAAAGUGUAAAACACUGAUAAGAACACAAUACAUACAGUGCAUCCGGAAAGUAUUCACAGCACUUCACUUUUGUUAUGUUACAGCCUUAUUCCAAAAUGGAUUCAAUUCAUUAUUUUCCUCAAAAUUCUACAAACA